Molecule: ribosomal RNA, 109 nt
Filed under: Ricinus communis (castor bean)
Lineage: Eukaryota; Viridiplantae; Streptophyta; Magnoliopsida; Malpighiales; Euphorbiaceae
Source: RNAcentral
GGGUGCGAUCAUACCAGUACUAAUGCAUCGGAUCCCAUCAGAACUCCGAAGUUAAACGAGAGUAGUACGAAGAUGGGUGACCUCUUGGGAAGUCCUCGUGGUGCACCCC